UACGUAGGGGGCAAGCGUUGUCCGGAUUUAUUGGGCGUAAAGAGCGUGUAGGCGGCCAGACAGGUCAGCUGUGAAAACUCGAGGCUCAACCUCGAGACGUCGGUUGAAACCGUCUGGCUAGAGUCCGGAAGAGGAGAGUGGAAUUCCCGGUGUAGUGGUGAAAUGCGUAGAGAUCGGGAGGAACACCUGUGGCGAAGGCGGCCGGCUGGGGGUGCCCUGACGCUGAGGCGCGAAAGCGUGGGGAGCGAACCGG
Molecule: ribosomal RNA, 253 nt
Filed under: uncultured bacterium
Lineage: Bacteria
Description: partial 16S ribosomal RNA
Rfam family: Bacterial small subunit ribosomal RNA
Source: RNAcentral